Molecule: ribosomal RNA, 447 nt
Filed under: uncultured bacterium
Lineage: Bacteria
Description: bacterial SSU rRNA
Rfam family: Bacterial small subunit ribosomal RNA
Source: RNAcentral
UUGCCAGACUCCUACGGGAGGCAGCAGUGGGGAAUAUUGCACAAUGGGGGAAACCCUGAUGCAGCGACGCCGCGUGAGUGAAGAAGUCAUUCGUUAUGUAAAGCUCUAUCAGCAGGGAAGAAAAUGACGGUACCUGAGUAAGAAGCCCCGGCUAACUACGUGCCAGCAGCCGCGGUAAUACGUAGGGGGCAAGCGUUAUCCGGAUUCACUGGGUGUAAAGGGAGCGUAGACGGCGACGCAAGUCUGGAGUGAAAGCCCGGGGCCCAACCCCGGGACUGCUCUGGAAACUGCGUCGCUGGAGUACGGGAGGGGCAGGCGGAAUUCCUGGUGUAGCGGUGAAAUGCGUAGAUAUCAGGAGGAACACCGGUGGCGAAGGCGGCCUGCUGGACUGCGACUGACGUUGAGGCCCGAAAGCGUGGGGAGCAAACAGGAUUAGAUACCCCAGUA